Molecule: ribosomal RNA, 425 nt
Filed under: uncultured bacterium
Lineage: Bacteria
Description: partial 16S ribosomal RNA
Rfam family: Bacterial small subunit ribosomal RNA
Source: RNAcentral
GUGGGGAAUAUUGGACAAUGGGCGCAAGCCUGAUCCAGCAAUGCCGCGUGGGUGAAGAAGGUCUUCGGAUCGUAAAGCCCUUUCGACAGGGACGAUGAUGACGGUACCUGUAGAAGAAGCCCCGGCUAACUUCGUGCCAGCAGCCGCGGUAAUACGAAGGGGGCUAGCGUUACUCGGAAUUACUGGGCGUAAAGGGCGCGUAGGCGGCUCUGUUAGUCAGGCGUGAAAUUCCUGGGCUUAACCUGGGGACUGCGCUUGAUACUGCAGGGCUUGAGGCCGAGAGAGGGUGGUGGAAUUCCCAGUGUAGAGGUGAAAUUCGUAGAUAUUGGGAAGAACACCGGUGGCGAAGGCGACCACCUGGCUCGGUUCUGACGCUGAGGCGCGACAGCGUGGAGAGCAAACAGGAUUAGAUACCCUGGUAGUCC